Bactrocera oleae (olive fruit fly) is the source of this 2469-nucleotide long non-coding RNA. RefSeq lists it as uncharacterized. The record is from RefSeq and is a predicted model, not a curated record. Lineage: Eukaryota; Metazoa; Arthropoda; Insecta; Diptera; Tephritidae.
CCUCACUAGUUAUAAAUAAAGUAAAUGUAACUAUAUUUCAGAAAUUUAUUUCAUGUCAUAUUGUUUGUUUUAGAGAUAUGUAUGUAUAUAUAAUAAUAUUAAUAAAUAUAAUUAUACUAAGUGGGAACUUUUUCUACAAAUUCUCUCUUGGGCUUUAAGAUUUAACCAUGAUUCAAUAAUAUAAGGUUGUGUUGAUAGCCCAAAAACAGCAACUUGUCAAAAGGGUUUUUAUUCAUAAUGUCAAAAUCAGCUUUCACAUUAAUCAAAAAAUAAAAUACACCAAAAUAAUAAUAAAAAAAUUAGUGUGUCAAGUACAUUUGCAGCGAUUGUUAUGGAAGAUGAGUUGAAUGCAGAAGAAGCUAUUGGUUGCGGUGUGAAUUUAUGAAAUGGGCCCCACCAGUUUAUCUAGCUUGAGAAAUACUGUGGACAACUUUUUUCCUAAUGAAAGCCUUCUAAUCCGUCCAAACCUGAUUAGCUUAAGAAAACUUUUUUAGAAUAGCAAAAUUAUUAGUUUAUGUGGUUUUCAAUGAGGCAAUAGUUUUCUCGGCAUUGAUCUUUUUAACAGUUGUUACUAGAUUUUAUAAUAUCCUUGAACAUAUACUUUUAGGCAAACCCAACGUAUGCAAAUUGCUCAAAUGUAUUACCAAAAUAAUGACUCACAUCGCGCCCUUCUUCCAAUAUUCGAUCAGUUGGGGAUUCGAGCAAUCAUGGAUCGGCUUCGCACCACUUUUCCUCUAGUUGAGAAUACGCAUCCUCAGGGACGCCGUACAGUGUACAUCGAAAACACUAUUGCUACUGUGGACCAUUUUAUCGAAGAAAACCCCAAUGAUUUCAUUCGCCAUCGCGCUUAACAAUAGGAGCUGUGCCCAUUUGCUUUAAGGAAGACUUCGCGGAAGGAUCUUGGUUUGCGGGCUUACAAAAUCCAACUCGUGCAAAUAUUGAAGCCGAACGACCAUCAACCAAAUUGCAGCAAAAAGAGGCCUUUCGGCUGAAAUUUAUUCAAGCCAUCCGCGGAGGUCACUUGCCCGAAAUCAUUUUUAUAACAUAAUGGCGCAUCCUUAUACAUAAAUUAUAUAAGCGGCUUAUUUCUUCAUACCGAUUCCUUCCAAAGCGCAUCGACUUUAUUUUUGUCACCCUUCAUAAAGCCUUGGGCGAUGUUCCUAUGAGCUUCCAUGAAUCGCAUAUUGAUUGUAUACUGCUCUGCGUUCUAAUCAAUUUACCAUUUUAAAUAUUUUUUCUGCAUAAUUUUAGCACUUUAGUUUACUUAAAUGUUUGCGCACACCAAAUUCACACAACUGAUUUUAAAUGAGUAACAACCGAAUAUUUUCUUGAGAAUUCGCUUUUCAGAACACUCAUUUUCAACCGAAAUUCAAUUUGAAAAAAAAUGUGAAAAUUGAAUAAUGAAGGUGAGAUAUAGAACACCAAAUGUCGAAUUGAAAGUGGAUUUGCUUGAAAUUCACUCGGAAGUGAAUCACAGAAUUUUUUGAUUUCAUGAUUAAAUACUAAAUUUUUCAAUUAAUUCAAAGGUGUCUUUUGAGUGAUAACUGAUUCCGAAAAGAUUGUAAAUCAUAAAAUCAUCAAAAUGUACGCAAGAAAUUCAUAAAAACAAAAACAAAAAAGUUUUUGGACAUCGGGGAUUAAAUUUUUCGUAAGAGGAAGCACGCUCUGAGUUUUGACAGUAGUGAUAACCAAAGAUGUGGUGAUUGCUGCCCGACACGUUCGAACGUUCAAAAUUAACUUGGUUUGAAUCACAAAAUUUCCCUCGAAUCCGGAAUAUAAGGCCUGUUGACUAUACCAAAUACACAAAAAAAAAUGAUUGAAAUACACAAAAUUAUUAAGAUAACUCAUUCUAUCGGUAGCCCGGUUGAGGUUCUUGUUCACAAUAAAAAUAAAAAGAGUGUAUCAGUACGUCCUAAAAGGCGCGGUCAAGUUAUUGUUGAUAACUCAAAUGGGGAAUCGGCGGAGCGCUAGUUACCAGACAGAAAAAUUAAGGCAAUAUAUCGGCAUUGAAUAACUUAAUGAUAACUGGCCAAUAUUGUAUAUUUGUAUUUUGAAUUGUAAUAAAAAUUGUUUUGUUCUUCUGAUUAAUUUUUGCACAAAAUUUGAAGUAUACAAUUUCUUCACAUUAACGUAAAAUCUUUUGCUCGGUUAAGAAAAGUCAACAACUGAAAUUUUAACAUUUUGUUUGAUUACCAUAUCAUUUGUCUGGCAGCAUAGCAAAUGAUUUACUUGGGUUACCCAUAUUAUGGGAACCAAACAAACGAUUGUAAUUUGAAAUUUCAGUACAAUUUUUUACAUUUCUUAACUUGAAAGCAAAGGUAGCCACCGUAGAUAACAUAUGUAUAUACGUCAAGUAGCAUGUUAAAUAUUGUAACGAUCUACCUUUUGUAAAAAUUGGGUACAAACUUGCAUUCAUUUAUUUUAAAAUAUAUAUAUAGUAUUACGAUACUUUAACAAUUACCAUAAAAA